RNAcentral lists this ribosomal RNA (424 nucleotides) under uncultured bacterium. Its description in RNAcentral is "bacterial SSU rRNA". It matches the Rfam family "Bacterial small subunit ribosomal RNA", at positions 355 to 796 of the family's 1533-position model. The record is from RNAcentral.
UGGGGAAUAUUGGGCAAUGGAGGCAACUCUGACCCAGCCAUGCCGCGUGGGUGACGAAGGUCUUCGGAUUGUAAAGCCCUUUCGGCGGAGACGAUGAUGACGGUAUCCGCAGAAGAAGCCCCGGCUAACUUCGUGCCAGCAGCCGCGGUAAUACGAAGGGGGCUAGCGUUGUUCGGAAUUACUGGGCGUAAAGGGCGUGUAGGCGGUCCGCUAAGUCAGGUGUGAAAGGCCUGGGCUCAACCCAGGAAAUGCGCCUGAGACUGACGGACUUGAGUCCGGGAGAGGAUGGUGGAACUCCCAGUGUAGAGGUGAAAUUCGUAGAUAUUGGGAAGAACACCCGUGGCGAAGGCGGCCAUCUGGACCGGUACUGACGCUAAUGCGCGACAGCGUGGGGAGCAAACAGGAUUAGAUACCCCCGUAGUCC